GGGGAAUAUUGGACAAUGGGCGAAAGCCUGAUCCAGCAAUACCGCGUGUGUGAAGAAGGCCUGAGGGUUGUAAAGCACUUUUAAUCGGGAGGAACACCUGUCAGCUAAUACCUGGCAGUAUGACAUUACCGAUAGAAAAAGCACCGGCUAACUCCGUGCCAGCAGCCGCGGUAAUACGGAGGGUGCAAGCGUUAAUCGGAAUUACUGGGCGUAAAGCGUGCGUAGGCGGUUAUUUAAGUCAGAUGUGAAAGCCCCGGGCUUAACCUGGGAACUGCAUUUGAUACUGGGUAACUAGAGUUGAGUAGAGGAGAGGGGAAUUUCAGGUGUAGCGGUGAAAUGCGUAGAGAUCUGAAGGAACACCAGUGGCGAAGGCGCCUCUCUGGACUCAAACUGACGCUGAGGUACGAAAGCGUGGGUAGCAAAC
This 424-nucleotide ribosomal RNA is filed under the name uncultured bacterium. RNAcentral describes it as "bacterial SSU rRNA". It matches the Rfam family "Bacterial small subunit ribosomal RNA", at positions 356 to 773 of the family's 1533-position model. The record is from RNAcentral.